GACGAACGCUGGCGGCGUGCCUAAUACAUGCAAGUUGAGCGAUGAAGAUUGGUGCUUGCACCAAUUUGAAGAGCAGCGAACGGGUGAGUAACGCGUGGGGAAUCUGCCUUUGAGCGGGGGACAACAUUUGGAAACGAAUGCUAAUACCGCAUAAUAACUUUAAACAUAAGUUUUAAGUUUGAAAGAUGCAAUUGCAUCACUCAAAGAUGAUCCCGCGUUGUAUUAGCUAGUUGGUGAGGUAAAGGCUCACCAAGGCGAUGAUACAUAGCCGACCUGAGAGGGUGAUCGGCCACAUUGGGACUGAGACACGGCCCAAACUCCUACGUGAGGCAGCAGUAGGGAAUCUUCGGCAAUGGACGAAAGUCUGACCGAGCAACGCCGCGGGAGGGAAGAAGGGUUUCGGAUCGUAAAACUCUGUUGGUAGAGAAGAACGUUGGUGAGAGUGGAAAGCUCAUCAAGUGACGGUAACUACCCAGAAAGGGACGGCUAACUACGUG
Molecule: ribosomal RNA, 497 nt
Filed under: uncultured bacterium
Lineage: Bacteria
Description: partial 16S ribosomal RNA
Rfam family: Bacterial small subunit ribosomal RNA
Source: RNAcentral